Molecule: RNA transcript, 1575 nt
Organism: Formica exsecta
Lineage: Eukaryota; Metazoa; Arthropoda; Insecta; Hymenoptera; Formicidae
Gene: ND-B14.5B
Exons: 6
Source: RefSeq, a predicted model, not a curated record
AUGGUAAAUUUCCUAGAUUGCCACAGGAUCGCCACAGACUAUCUUUCGAAUCGAUCAUAGAAAUUAUAUAUUUUUAUGAAUCGAUCCAUGCUCGAUUAUUUCCAUAGUUUUCAUUCACUGCCGUGCAUUCGCGACUCCGGACUUGUGGUUUGUCAAAGCGGAGCAUUUCGCUCCUUGUGAUUGUUAUUUCGUUCCUAGAAUAGUUCGCAAGAAUGAGUAAACAUCAUACACAUGAGAUAAGUGAACAUCCUGAAGUUCAAUGGGCUCUGGAAUUGCUUAAACCAGAUCCCGCUUAUGAGCUCAGUGUAAUGCAAAAAUAUUGUGGAGAAGUAAUAUGUAUGGGAAGUGGUUUUUCAAUAGCAUGUUUAACAAAUUGGUUUAACCGCAGGCCGUAUUAUGCGGGAAUACAAGUACAUCUUACAGCAAUGGCAGUAGGAUAUGUUGCAUCGCAAAUUAUUAAGAAAGUUGUUGAUGAUUAUCAGGCAGAACAUGAUACUAAACUAAGGGAUUAUAUCAUACGACAUCCAGAACUCUUUCCUGAACCAGUACGUGUGAAAUAUAGCGAAGUACUUCAGGAGUGGUGUCCAAUUCGUUAGAUCUUUAGAAGCUGUAAAUCAUUGGAAGAUCCGCAAUUGGAUUAUCAUUUUACCUCCUCUGGUUGAAGACCGCCGGGAAUGAUCGUACCGUCUCUGGAACAGAAACAAUAUGGAAGCUGGCAGUUCGCCGUGUCGCAACGCUCGGCUAAAUCCGUGGGUGGCUCGGUUAUUGGUGCUGGUGCUAGAAAUUAAAAGAUACCGUUAUCAAAAUUCAGGAAAAUUACAUUUCGACGAAUGAAUGAAAAUUAGGAGUGAAGACUCGCUCGAAAAUCUCGAUGGGUCCGCAUCGCGCCUCGUUUUUGAAAGUGCAAAACUUGCUGAUGUCGUCAAAGUGCAAGCCUGAUGGACAUCGGUUCAGAUACGGGUAUCCAUCAACGCACUUCCGAAAAACAAAAUAAGAGGAUAUAAUUACGAAUGCGAAUAAUCAUAGUAAACCAAUGAUGAAAAUGAUUAUGUAAUUACCUGAUAAAAUCUUCUGCAUGUUGCCGGAUCGGCGAAGUUGCCAUUACCCUGGCCUUCUGGACACCUGAACUCCUCGUCUUUCUUAUCCUCGUCCUUUUUGCUCUUUUGACUAUGCACUGAAAUAGAGAAAGGCGAGAAUUUGAAUAUAAAAAGGGAUGUGUACGAGGAUAACAGCAACAAAGGCAUAACGAUGCAUUUAUCAAGAGAGGUGCCCGCGCGCUCGCGGAUGUCAAAAAGAUUCAUUUAAUGGUAAAGUGGAAAGUGAAGGUACACGUACCAGUGUACGUUGGCAAUGACGUUGUUUUCUCGCUCAGGUGCAACAUUUCCUUUUAUCGUUCAGACAUACGCACACGUGUGCGGCUGCACGUGUGCAUGUACACACACGCGUAUGUACACCAUAUGCGCGUAAAACAAAUCUUAUGUAAACGCGAGUGAAACCUCGUUGAUGUACUGAAUUCGCCAGUGUCAUCUCUCGUUUCCUCGCGGAUUUUUUGUAUUUUUAUUUUAUUACAAAUUU